This 8240-nucleotide long non-coding RNA is filed under the name Homo sapiens (human). RNAcentral's name for it is "HSALNT0103346". The record is from RNAcentral. Lineage: Eukaryota; Metazoa; Chordata; Mammalia; Primates; Hominidae.
GCUGGGCUGAGAAGGAGAUAGAGGCCUGUAACUUAUGGAGCAGAUCUCCUCCGAGGAGAGGAAAAGGACACUCUGGAACCACAAGAAAUGACUGUCUCACUCUUUUCUGUCCCAAGCUCACUUCUCGUGAGUGUGUGACAGGAUAUUCCUGAAUAGCUCCAGUAGACCUUUGUACAGCCACUCUUUUAUUAGAGACACUGCCCAAGGGGGUCUGUAGUACCGAGUGCUCCGCCCCGGUAGCUACUAGGAAGCGUACAGGCUGGCCCCUCACUGUAGCGGUCACCGUGGGCUCCUGGGGGCCAAGAGAGAGGGAGUCCUGGCUCCAUCAGUCAUCAGACUCUUCCGUUGCGGGGAGGGUGAGGGCCUUUUUCUUUUCUGAUUUUUCCUCUGGCCGUAGUGGGCAUUCCUUUUUCCAGUGCCCAGUCUGCUUGCAAUAAGCACAUUUGUCCUUUUCUAGGGGAGCCUGUUCUCCUCUUUUGCCCUUCUGGUAGGGACCUGAGGUUCCCUGGCUAUUCCUCUGUGAUGGGGGCCUUCCCUUCUUGACCUCUCCGAUGGCCGCAGCUAAGAUUUUUGCUUGUCUUUUGUAUGCUUUAUCAGCUGCUGCCUGUGCUGUUUGUUUUCUUUUUUCAAACUCUCGAUUGUCAAAAACUUUUUGGGCUAUCUCUAAAAGCUGAGUGAUAUUCAUCCCAGGAAAUCCCUCCAGUUUUUGGAGUUUUCUUUUAAUAUCAGGGGCUGCCUGAGCCACAAAUGCCAAAUUAAGAGCACGGCUAUUUUCGGGAGCCGCCGGGUCAAAAGAGGUGUAAGUCCGAUAGGCCUCCUGGAGGCGUUCUAAAAACGCUCCCGGUGACUCAUCAGGCCCUGUGCGACUUCAGUCAUCUUAGACAAGUUUAUGGGUUUCUGAGCAGCUCCUUUGAUACCUGCAAGGAGAUACCGGUGAAAAUCGUCCAAAGCUUUCUUCCUACCCGAGGAAUUCGUGUGCCAGUUAGGCCGGGUAGAGGGAAAGACCUCCUCAAGAAAGUCUCUAGCUUCCUCCUCUGGCCUAUUGGCUGAUGUGAGGAAAUACUUUCUGGCCUCUCUUCGGAUAUGUUCCCUCUCUUCAGAGGUAAAAAGGGUCAAAAGGAGCUGCUGACAGUCAUCCCAGGUGGGCCGAUGGGUCCGGAGCACAGACUCCAUCAGUGAGAUCAAGACCUGGGGCUUUUCAGAGAAGGGAGGAUUAUGAGCCUUCCAGUUACAGAGGUCAGAAGGAGAAAAAGGGACAUAAACCAAGAAUGGGGCUGAGCGCUCAUCACCCGGAGGGACUUGUGCUUCUUUCCGCGGUAGAGGGGGGGCUACUUCCUCCUGCCGCGGCCGCAAUCGAGAGGCAAUAGGCGGCGAGCCUACAGGGGAUGUAGUCGAGGAGACAAGGGAAGAUUCUAAGGGAGCAGGACGGUUAUAAGGCGGCGGAACUGAGUGGGGGAGACUCUCCUCUUCUUCAGAGGGAGGCAGUACAGGGUGAGCCGAACAGACUGAGGGUCCAGGCGGAAGUGCGGUCUGGCUCAAAACGACCUUGGAGGCAGAAUUAUGAAUGGCGCAUGAGCGGAGCCAUGGUGGGGAGCUUCUGACCAAACUCAGCCAUUGAUCAAUGUGGGGAAACUGAUCGGGGUGGCCGGGAGUUCCAGCAACAACCCGCCACACAGCCUGAACAAUUGCUAGGUUCAGUGACCCUACUGGGGGCCAUCCGACUCCAAACUUUGGCCAUUCUACUUCGCAGAGUGUCCGGAGUUUGCCUUUUUAAAGGCGGACCCCAUAAUCCUCUGAGAAGCCUAGAGAAAAAUUCUGCAGCAUACAUUGGAGGGGGCUCCAAUCCUUACAGGGCCGGGAAGAGGAGUUUCCCAUUUUUGGAGGCAGUUUGACAAGGUUUGAGCAGGGAUAUCAAACCCAGCACGGACAGAAAAACUCAUUCCCUAGGGGGCUGGAGUAUCGGAAGAACAGAAUUAACAUAACCAGAAGGAGCCGAAAGACAACAAUAGCUCACACUACUUGCCACAGGACGGUUAACUAGCUUUAAGAUUGAGGGAGGUCGGGCGCAGUGGCUCACGCCUGUAAUCCCAGCACUUUGGGAGGCUGAGGCGGGCGAAUCACGAGGUCAGGAGAUCGAGACCAUCCUGGCUAACACGGUGAAACCCCGUCUCUACUAAAAAUACAAAAAAUUAGCUGGGUGUGGUGACGGGUGUCUGUAGUCCCAGCUACUUGGGAGGCUGAGGCAGAAGAGUGGCCUGAACCUGGGAGGCGGAGCUUGCAGUGAGCUGAGAUCGCGCCACUGCACUCCAGCCUGGGCGACAGAGAAGACUGUCUCAAAAAAAAAAAGAAUAAUUAUCCAAGAUUGAGGGAGGAGGACUAGAGGCCAACCUUAGGUCUCCUUGGCUGGAUGGACCUAGGCGUCCUCCCUCUUUCCCUGGACCUGUAGCCUAAAUACUUUUGGUGUCUCCACGACUCAAAGGCAAAUAGCUCAAAUUCGGCCUUUUCUUUUAAGAGUUUGAGGAGUGAGAGCAGAGCCAAGUCCUGGAGACGCUGAACUUGCUGUGACACGGGAAAACGAGAUGUACGGGGUAAGUGGUAGGGAUGAGGAGGAAAAAGGGCCACUCGGAUCUUUCCUAGGGUAGGAGAGUAGCCACAGAGGAAUAGAAUAAGGGUUUAAACGAAGUAAAGUGGUACGGGCGUAGGUUUCUCUGCACAGUGCCGUAUUUAAGGGCACAGAAAAAGUUACGGGAUGACAAAAGAGGUGAGCAAGGAGGUCUGCAGGGUGGCUAUUUUGAACCUACCACCGGUUUAGUCUGGAGGUGGCCCAGUCACUUGGACAUGGGGUAUGACAAUCUAAAUGCCAGCAAUCUUCAUGGUGCCAGAAAUCCCAAACAGGCGAAUGUUCCUCACACUCGUUCCCGUUCCCGUAACAACACCUGAUUUGUUUCUGACAGAAAAGGCAGGACUGGGAUGGCCAGCCUAAGCGAUUGAUGAGAAAUUUAACCUCCUGUGAUAAAAAAUCAACACUAAAGACCUUGAAGAAGUUCCUGCCCAGACGUCUUGGGCAGUAUCGAUGACCUGACAUACGAAACUUUGACAACCACUAAACAGGACAAUAGACACCGAGCAGGACAACAAACACAAAACAAACAAUAGACCCUUGGGUAUAUAAACAAUUAUGGUAGGUUUUUAUUAGACAGACAAGGGGAGGGGGUCCCAUGAUGGGAUCAGUCAGAUGCCUGCCUGGCCGCUCCCCCUGAGGGGACUUGGGCUUCUCUUAGCAUUGGCAGGCAGGUAUAAACCCCCGGCUCGGAUGGAGCUAUGCCCGAUGCUGCCUUAAGCCUUAUGAGGUCGCCACGGAACGGCAGGUGAGGGCCCACUCGAACUCCGUAGCUUUCGCCGUGGAGCUACAAACUGGGGAUCCAGAGGCAGGCCCCUGGACUCCUCAGUCGUGCACACAUUCACAAAGAGUUUAUAACAAUUUUUGUUAUUUCCCGUUCUAAACAAAGGUCCCAGAAGACCUGAACGAGAGGAGGAGAAGAGAUAGAGCAAGGGGGAGAGAAAGAAAAAGAGGAGGAGAGAGUGAGAGACUAGUCUUAAUGGAGAGGCCGGCCUGCCAGAAACCAGGGCUCUAUCCUCCAGCGUCCUGGAGUAUGGAUAGAGUCAAAGAGAGGGACACCGUCGUCAGGGCUGCCUCCCUCUCACCAAACCAGAACCAAAAGGCGCCUAACAGAAAAACCAGGGCUCUGUCCUCCAGCGCCCUGGAAAAGCGGGCAGUGUCAAAGACAGGGAUGCCCUCGUCAGGGCUGCCUCCCUCUCACCAAACAGAAGUCAAAUCUAACUUACCUGACCCCGGGGUCAGAAGCUGAGGACUCAGAGGUUGAAUUUUGUGGGCACACACACACGGUAGUCGAUCCGCUGUCCUCCGGAAGACGGUCGCCUUUCGGGGACCUGGAAAAUUUUUUUUCAGGUGGCUCCUCGCCUAUAAGCCGGCCGUCCCUCCGGGGGAGCCCGGAGCUAGCCCGGCUCUCGCCCAGUGGCGAAUAUAUCUCGCUGGGGCUUCCAAAUGUUGUACCCGAGCGAGUUAGAGAAACGCCACACUUCGAGACGAAUUUAAGAGUCCUUCAUUAGCCGGCGACCGACAGACGACUAACGCUCGAAAUUCUCUCGGCCCCGAGGAAGGGGCUUGAUUUUCCUUUAUACUUUGGUUUAGAAAGGGGAGGGGGAGCUUAGUUGCAGCAAUUCUACAGAAGUAAAAGCAUGCAAAAAAAUUAAAAAGACAAAUGGUUACAAGGAAACAAACAGUUCCAGGUGCAGGGGCUCUAAAUCUAUCAUAAGGCGUUAGGUAUGGGGGCUCUCCCGGACACAAACUCAAAGCUUUAUGGUGUUAUCUCUUGAGCGAAAUCCUGGUAACUUCGUAAAUUGCUUGCUUCAGUACCUUAUCAGUUAAUUGGACUCUUUGAUAUGUAAGAGUCAGCUUACACAAGUUAACUGCUUGAGGAAGGGGGUGGGUAAGGAGUCUUUGACGUCUUGUAAAUGAAGGAGCCAAAAGGAGUACUUCCGGCUUUCUCAGCUAAGGAAGAGCCUAUUCAUGUGGAAACAAGGCUAGGCGAUUAAGGGAGAGUCUAAAAACAAGGUUAGGUACUACAAAGUCGCGGUAAAAUCGGUGUUAACUACGUGUGCAGCCACCUUUUCCUUAGUGCUAUUCCUGAAGGAAAUAAUGUAUACAGUGAUCUAUUUCCAAGACAAAGUGCCUUAAAUUGGCUUAGGUCAGCAAAGUACAGAAGAAACAGGGUAUACUAGGUCCCUGCUUGGAUAGCGGAUGCCUGCUUGUCGCCCCCCUCUUUCCUCCCCCUUCCCAUCCCCCAUCCUUGGUGGCCUUCACCCAAACAAAAACAGUUUAGUCUAAGAUAUAAGUUUACUAGUCUGCAAAAUAGCUCACUUUGUCUGUUCUUAUCAGCCUGCCCAGCUACUUAGGUCAUAAGUCAAACACUUAAAGAGCCCUUGAGCUAACCAGGAUUGCAAUGCAUUGUGGGCUGCAACAAAAUGCAGCAAGACAACCCUAAAAAAGAGACACCUAAAGCCUUUGCCUAACAAUCAGUAGGCAAACGCCGAGAAAAUUGUAACCCCAUAGCACUCAGCCUAUGAGGAACCUGGGGAGGGACUUGCGCACUAGGGGACAAAUUGCUUGUUGAAACUGUUCUGGGUGUGCCUGCACGCCAGACACCCGAUCUUGAUCUCUCAAGACCGUCAUUAAAAGUCUCACUUUCGCUGUUCUCCGGGUCUCUGAGUCCAUUCUUUGGGUUUAGAUGGAUGAGUUUAUUUUCUCACAUAACAGCUGCAGAGGUGGUACAGGUGAAUCCCUCUCAAGUCAAGUGGGUUAACCUCAAAAUUGACUUAAGGGGUGGUUUGUGAUCGCCUGGUAGAUGGUGGACGGUUACAGCUUUUAGAAAGUGAGUAAAAGAGAUGAUGCAUACAGAAGCCCCACUGGGUUGCUUAGCUUCUGCACAUGGAGAAAGAGGCUGCUUUUCUGCCUUCUAGGUGUUUAGUAACUUAAUUUUUAAUCCUUUGAUGAAAUAGAGUGGAAAAUAAAAGGAGAUUUUCUUUUAACAAAAUAGUGUUAAGAUGCUUGCCAAGUAUCCCCCUGUGAAUUUCUGCUUAGCACUGUGAUAUCAGAAUUAGAAAUUGUGCAGGGUUCUAAUCUGGAGAUAUGGGAUGUUCAGUAGCUAAGAAGGAAGUUAUUCCUUGAAAGUAAGUACAGUGAGGUAGAAAAGGAUCCAUUGGGAUUGGGAGAAUAAAAGUUCAUUAUUUUUAUUUAUUAAAAAAAACAAAACAAAACAAAGAAAUGAGGUUUUGGCUGGGUGCAGUGGCUCACGCCUGUAAUCCCGGCACUUUGGGAGGCCAAGGUGGGCAGAUCACGAGGUCAGGAGAUUGAGACCAGCUUGGCCAACAUGGUGAAACCCCAUCUCUACUAAAAAUACAAAAAAUUAGCCAGGCGAGGUGGCAAGUGCCUGUAUUUCCAGCUAUUCAGGAGGCUGAGGCAGGAGAAUUGCUUGAACCCAGAAGGCGGAGCUUGCAGUGAGCCAAGAUCGCUCCACUGCAGUCCAGCCUGGGCAACAGAGUGAGACUUCAUCUCAAAAAAAAAAAAAAAAAAAAAAAAAAAAAAAAAAAAAAAAGAAAGAAAGAAAAAAGAAAAAAAAAAGAAGAAACGAGCUUCUACCCUAGAUGGAUCUUGGACUCUGGAGUUCAGAGAGCUUGCCAUUUCAGACCAGAAACUUCCUUAAAGAACCAAGAGAAGUAAUUUUCUCCCUGCUAAAUUUCAGCUGAGGUGAUUGAGAUCUUUUCCUCAUUUGUCAUUAUAUUUGUCAUUUGUCCUUAUGUUUGUAGUUAAAUAGCUUGGAUUAAGUUUCAGAAUUUGUCGGUCUCUAAUGGAAAAAGUGACCACCAGCACAUCACCAGCAAUCAUCAGCCACUUGUAGUGGAAUCUUUUAGUGAAAGCUUGCAGGACUUUUGCAACCUGGGUGAGGAAGCAGUUAGAAGAAAGUAAGAAACGCAAAAGAACUUGAGCCUUAACCUUCUGAUCUGAAAUCAGACUUAGGUCACAGAAUUCAAUGGUUUCUGACUAUUUUAUUUAAACUGGAAAUCGGCGGGAUGGCAAGGAAUACUACUUGCUUCUAUAGUGUGUGAUCCACAUUAGUGAUUUGUGGAACUAAUUAGGACAGGGGGAUAAUUCUAAGCAACAAAGAACUGUAAGUGAAUGAACACGAAUUAUCUCCCUGUAUGAGAGAGAAAUGCAGAGGCCAACACAAUUCCCUUGAAUAGGUGGGGAAUAUCAUGGAGAACUUCCUAAGGUGGCUCAUAGGAAAAAAAAGAGUGGAAAUACUGGAAGUUGAACGCAGGACCUCACGCAUGCUAACCACGUGCUCUGUCCCUGAGCUAUACCCCCGCAGGAGAUCAGGAGCUUGGGAAAAUGUUUUGGUGAUCUCCGUUGCCUGAGUCUGUGCUCUGUGUCAUCAAGACAAUCACUGUAUGUUUCCAAUUCCACUGUUUAUGAAUUCCCGACACUAAGCGCCCUCUCUCUCUCUCUCUCUCUCUCUCUCUCUCUCUCUCUCUCUCUCUCUCUCUCUCUCGGGCAUGGCUACACCAGGAGAAAGAUAUCUUGUGGUAAAAACAAAGGCAUUGUUCCUGAUGUUCCUGAUUUGUGGUCAGUCCAAGAUCAACUCACCCCAAAGUGGUCUCCCCAUCAUAUUAGACUUUCUGGAGCAUAAUUCCAUUCUAUCCCUUGAGUGACCUCCGGCAUACAACAUUCUCUUGCAAAUUUUCUGAUUAUAACUUUUUUCUUUUGACUCUGGGAAGCAUCUUAGUGUUUCCCAUAGUCAAAAAAUAAAACUCAGGUAUGUGUGAAAAUACCCUAAAAUUCAGUACAAAUAGAGGCAAAUUAACUGCAUUUCAAAAGAAUAACAUAACCACAUUGAAGAGGAAAGAACUGAUAUAAGAAAAUGGUUUACACAGAUUGUUGUUCUAAUUGUGAGAUCAAAAAGAACAUCGAACAAAUCUUAAACUCUAUGUAUCAGGAUUAUUUUUUGUAGAGUGAGGGCUGUAGCAAUUCUGAUAUUUUGUGUGAAUUUUAGGAUUGGGAAAUCGAGUGUCUGUUGUUGGAAACAGACUCUCACUGUGGGAGAAGAAGGAAGGUAAAGAAUAGUCCUGUUGAUACUGAUGGGAAUUAGAGGCAUCAGUAUGAAAUUGUACAUAUGAAAUUGUAAAAUUUCCCCACAGAUCUAUCUGCUAACUGGGCCUAGAAGAAAUGAUACCUCAGAAGCAAUGAGCAAAGAUAACUCUGUAUCUUGAUUUUCAAAUACCAUUCCCUACUAAAAGGAACCAGAGAUACUAAUAGAAAGUAGCUAUUAGUGUCAACUACACAGACUCCAGGACUGUGCCAGGGAAACUGCAAAAUGAACCUAAGAUAUCUUGCCUUGCCAGAAUGUAAGUGCUCAGAAAUGACGGGGGUGAUUUAAAAGGACACAGAAGCCAGCUUGAAGGGAAUCUCACUGGCCAAAUCUGACACACUUUUAGCAUCAGUGAUGACAAUAACUGAUUAUCAUUCUUGGGAACUUAAACAAAUAAAUAUGGAGGACGGGACGAUUUUCCUUACAGUGGUUUGCCAAAUGAUAAAUGUGAAAGUGAGUGCCGGGCGCAGUGGCUCACGCCUUUAAUCCCAGCACUUUGGGAGGCUGAGGCGG